This 253-nucleotide ribosomal RNA is filed under the name uncultured bacterium. Its description in RNAcentral is "partial 16S ribosomal RNA". It matches the Rfam family "Bacterial small subunit ribosomal RNA", at positions 524 to 776 of the family's 1533-position model. The record is from RNAcentral.
UACGAAGGGUGCAAUCGUUACUCGGAAUUACUGGGCGUAAAGCGUGCGUAGGUGGUUCGUUAAGUCUGCCGUGAAAGCCCCGGGCUCAACCUGGGAAUGGCGGUGGAUACUGGCGGACUAGAGUGCGGUAGAGGGUGGUGGAAUUCCCGGUGUAGCAGUGAAAUGCGUAGAGAUCGGGAGGAACACCAGUGGCGAAGGCGGCUCACUGGACUGGUACUGACGCUGAUGCGCGAAAGCGUGGGGAGCAAACAGG